RNAcentral lists this long non-coding RNA (3324 nucleotides) under Homo sapiens (human). RNAcentral's name for it is "HSALNT0127588". The record is from RNAcentral. Lineage: Eukaryota; Metazoa; Chordata; Mammalia; Primates; Hominidae.
GCACCAUCUAAUCAGCUGCCAGCACAGCUAAGAUAAAAGCAGACAGAGGAAUGUGGAAGAACUAGACUGGCUGAGUCUUCUGGCCUCAAUCUUUCUCCCUCACUGGAUGAUUCAUGCCUUGAACAUCAGUCUCCAAGUUCUUCAGCUUUUUGAAUCUUGGACUUACACCAGUGGUUUUCCAGGGGCUCUGGAGCCUUUGGCCACAGACUGAAGGCUGCACUGUUGGCUUUUCUACUUUUGAGGUUUUGGGACUCAGACUGUCUUCCUUGCUCCUCAGCUUGCAGAUGGCCUAUUGUGGGACUUCACUUUAUGUCUGUUGCCCCAUCAGUGCAGAAUUCCAAUGGGUCCACAAGUGUGGGCAUGCAACAAGACUCAAAGCAAGUACAAGCUCUUCCGGCAUAGCCCUCUAGGAAUUCCAGCUGAGAGCCUGCCAGUAGCCUACCAGGGCUCCUCCCCUUCCAGAUGCUGACCUCUCAUCUUUGUCACUUCCACAUCACAGACUGUCAAUAACUCCUAUAUGCUUUGGAGAAGAUGUCUACUAACUACUUGGCCUCCAGCCUCCACAUAACUCGAGAAUUUGACAAGUGUCUUGAAAGAAAAACUGAUGAUGGGUCAGGAUCAGUCUUCCCUGCUCAGUAGAUCCUUACCCCUCAAGUCUUUCCACUACUACAAGACACCAAAAGCUUUCCUGGUUUCUCUAUCUCCUCUACCUAGAGAAUACCAGGUUCUCAGACAUUAGCUCUAGGUCCAAAAUCAAGCCGGUUUUUCUUUUGCAGGGAAAAACUGGCCGAAUAGUGUUAACUCACUAGUCUUCCCCUUUCUGGAAUCUUGGCAUUUCUAGUUUUGGUUGCCCUAGCAGCUCUCCAAUGCCUUUAAACAGAUGUCUUCUGCUUCUAUUAGGCUUGUUCUUGGCUGAGGCCUUGGUCUGCUGGAAAAUACUGCCACAUACGCAGAAGUAGAAGUCUCUUGAGACAUCAUCUUAUUAGUUAUUUAUUGCCAUGUAACAAAUUACAUGGAAACUUAGUGACUUAAAGAAACAAUAAAAAUUUAUUAUCUCACAUUUUCUGUGCAUCAGAAUUCUGUGGGAUAGGAGCAGCAUAGCAGAUGGUUCUGGCAAAGAAUCUCUCAUAAGGUUGUAGCCCAAUGUUGCCUCGGGCUUGAGAAUGAGCUUCCAAAAGAGUUCACCCUCAUGACUGCCAAGCAGGUGCUGGCUAUUGUAAGAAAGUCUGUCCGUUUUCACACAGGCCUGUUACGAGUAUUUUCAUGACAUGGCAGGUGACUUCACCACAAUAAGGGAAGCAAGAACAGGAAAAAUGGAAGUGUGCAUGUCUUCUAUGACUGAGCCUUAGAAAUUACACUCUUUCCUUUCUGCAAUAUCCUAUUAGUUACGCAGAUCAGUCUUAUUAAAUGUAGAAGAAGAUACACAGAAAACAAACACCAGGGAACAGAAAUCAUUAUCAGUAAGGCCUAUCUAAAAGAAAAUUAUAUUUAAAAUAAAAUUCUUCAUAUAGAUGGAGAAAUUUAAGAAGUUGUUUUGCUGCAGUAAUGAUCAUUACAAAAUAACUACAAAGUUGUGCUUCUAGUGUUGGUUGCAAUUCUGCUCCUAUCUCAUGCACCUUCUUCAUUCAAGGAUCCAGGCUUGAAUAGCAACCUGCAUCUGGAAUAUGCUAUUCUGGUGACAGAGGGAAAUAAGAGCAAGAACCAUAGCACACAAAGGCCCUCAAUUGUUUACUUAGCUAUGGUAUACAUCACUUCUGCCUACAUUUCAUUGACCAAAGCAAGUCAUAUGGCCAAACCAGAUAACAAUGGAGUAUGAAAGUACAUUUCUCUAAUAGACAGGCACUGCUAGUACCAUGGUAAUCAUAGGGAUAUAUAUCAUAUUUCAGGGAAGUAAAGAAUGAAUAAUUAGGAUCAAUAAUAAAAUCUACCAUGAAUAUCUAGUAUGCACAAAGCAGUCAUAUAAUAAUAAAUUCUAUUUAAAAAGGGCAGCUCAGCUGGGUGCACAUAGCCACAUUUAUAAUUCUGGCUUCAGUCUUGAAAAGAAGAAAACUGUCAAACCAUUUCUACUUUUCGAGGCUUUUAAUUGUUUUCUCAUUUUUAGUCAUGUUUCAGUGAAAUACUUUGGAUAAUAUCAUGAUUACCAAAUCAGUAACUUCAUUUUUUAUUCUACUUUAAAAUUACAUUUAUUCUACUUUAUAAAUGAAGUAUGAAUCUGAUCCAAUUGUAUUCAAAUGACAUUCUAAAAAAAGUAUAUAGAAAAACAAACUGAGAACAAUCUAAGAAUGUUUUAUAAACUAUCUGGAAAGAUUGUUAGGUAUCAAUUGUGGAAAAAGAUUAGAAUCAAAUCUUAAAAUUUUUUACUUAGUAUUUUUCUAAUAAUUCAACAUUACUAAAAAUUAAAUUGAUACUAUAAUAAUUAAUGACCUUUAGUCCUGACAUGUAGAAUGUGUCCAUUCUCUGAGAUAAUACAAUGACAAAAUUAUUAUGCUUAAUACUACACCCAGAAAUAUUAUUUUUAGCAUCCAAACUAGAUUUUUCAUAUUUAUAAUUGUGCAUGGAAACAAUCUGAUAAUCAUAUUUUAAGACCAUAUAUUCUGACAUGGAGUUGCAGAACUGUGAUGAUCAUAAGCCUAUAUGUCUGAAAAGAAUACAUUGUGACUAAGACUUACACUAAACACAAAACAACACUGAUUUCUAGUAUCUUUUGCCAGAUAUACAGCUCUACUGUCCUUGUUUAGGUUUGCUGAUUCAAAUUUCUGUAAGAGUUGGGGUGGUCUUAUGAGGGUAGGAGGAAUUCUAUGCUAACAUUGGAAUGAAGCACAAGAAAAAUUAAAAGUUUUACAACCAUAUGGAAUGCAGUGACUUAUCACUUGAUAAAACAGAAUUUAACUGUUCAAGCCCUCAGCUAUGUAGUUUGGUUCAGCUCUAAUUAAUAAUAUUAAUUCCAUUCAUGUUCUUGGGUUCUAGUUUUCACAGCUUUCAUAAAACUAAUUCUAACUUUUAUACAAUUGAAUGUCCACAUAAGCCAGGCUAGCUAAUAUAUAUUAGUUUGAAAAAUUGCUUUUAUGUGAUACUUCACCCAAAUACUUUUUUUCUAUCUAAUAUCUCUAUCAACCAGGUAAGAAAUUGUUUUCACCAUGCAAUCUGUCAAAAUUACCAAUUUUACAAAAACAUUGGCAUCAAUUUUUCUUUUUCUUUUUCUUUAUUUCUUUUUUUCUGAGAUGGAGUCUGGCUCUGUGCCCAGGCUGGAGUGCAGUGGCGCGAUCUCGGCUCACUGCAAGCUCCGCCUCACGGGUUCACGUCAUUCUCCCGCCUCGGCCUCCC